GACAUUCUCCCUCCGUUUCAAAAUUUUUGUCUUAUCUUAGAUUUGUUUAGAUAUGAAUGUAUCUAGUCAAAUUUUAGUAUUUAGAGACAUCUAUUUCUAGACAAAGUUGAGACAAGAAUUUUGGGAUGGAGGGAGUACAUG
Non-coding RNA from Hordeum vulgare subsp. vulgare (domesticated barley), 141 nucleotides. NCBI's taxonomy places the organism in Eukaryota, Viridiplantae, Streptophyta, Magnoliopsida, Poales, Poaceae. The record is from Rfam.